AUUGAACGCUGGCGGCAUGCCUUACACAUGCAAGUCGAACGGUAACGCGGGGGCAACCCUGGCGACGAGUGGCGAACGGGUGAGUAAUGCAUCGGAAACGUGCCCAGUAGUGGGGGGAUAGCUCGGGCGAAAAGCCGGAUUAAUACCGCAUACGACCUACGGGUGAAAGCGGGGGACCGAAAGGCCUCGCGCUAUUGGAGCGGCCGAUGUCGGAUUAGCUUGUUGGUGGGGUAACGGCCUACCAAGGCGACGAUCCGUAGCUGGUCUGAGAGGAUGAUCAGCCACACUGGGACUGAGACACGGCCCAGACUCCUACGGGUGGCUG
RNAcentral lists this ribosomal RNA (325 nucleotides) under uncultured Pseudomonadota bacterium. RNAcentral's name for it is "bacterial SSU rRNA". It matches the Rfam family "Bacterial small subunit ribosomal RNA", at positions 29 to 351 of the family's 1533-position model. Lineage: Bacteria; Pseudomonadati; Pseudomonadota. The record is from RNAcentral.